Molecule: long non-coding RNA, 407 nt
Organism: Rosa chinensis
Lineage: Eukaryota; Viridiplantae; Streptophyta; Magnoliopsida; Rosales; Rosaceae
Exons: 3
Source: RefSeq, a predicted model, not a curated record
AUAACAAAAGAAUCGCAGCCCUAGAAAUCGAUGAGAUUCAAUUGGAGACUCUAAAAUGAAUCUCUCGCUGUCUUCUUCUUCUCCGUCUUCUACUUCUUUAGCUUUAGCCGGUUCCUGGUUCUCCGGCAUUGUCCGGGGCCGGUCCGACCGUGCCGGGUCCGUCGUGCGGAAGAAUCAGUUCAGAGGGGCACUCUUCAAGUACGGCCCCAAACCAAUUCAGUCAUGAACUUAUACAGAGGAUCUAUGAGGGGUGUCGGCAAACUUUUGGGAAUCAAAUCCAUAUAUGAAAUGAAAUUGAUCCAUAUGCAAAUCGUUGAAUUCAUUCGUUGCAUCGGUAAAGUGAUAAAAUGGGAGGAACUUACAGAAGUGCAAUGGAAAAUCAUGAGAACAUCAAUCUUUCGAGCUGU